RNAcentral lists this ribosomal RNA (375 nucleotides) under uncultured bacterium. RNAcentral describes it as "bacterial SSU rRNA". It matches the Rfam family "Bacterial small subunit ribosomal RNA", at positions 523 to 898 of the family's 1533-position model. The record is from RNAcentral.
AUACGUAGGUGGCGAGCGUUGUCCGGAAUUACUGGGCGUAAAGGGUGCGUAGGCGGAUGAUCAAGUCAGAUGUGAAAGUCCAUGGCUUAACUGUGGGAGUGCAUUUGAAACUGGUCAUCUAGAGUGCAGGAGAGGGAAGCGGAAUUCCUAGUGUAGCGGUGAAAUGCGUAGAUAUUAGGAAGAACACCAGUGGCGAAGGCGGCUUUCUGGACUGUAACUGACGCUGAAGCACGAAAGCGUGGGGAGCAAACAGGAUUAGAUACCCUGGUAGUCCACGCUGUAAACGAUGAGUGUUAGGUGUAGGGGACGAUAGUCUUCUGUGCCGGAGCAAACGCAAUAAACACUCCGCCUGGGGAGUACGGUCGCAAGACUAAA